AACGAACGCUGGCGGCAUGCCUAACACAUGCAAGUCGAACGAGACCUUCGGGUCUAGUGGCGCACGGGUGCGUAACGCGUGGGAACCUGCCCUUAGGUUCGGAAUAACUCCCCGAAAGGGGUGCUAAUACCGGAUAAUGUCUUCGGACCAAAGAUUUAUCGCCUUUGGAUGGGCCCGCGUUGGAUUAGCUAGUUGGUAGGGUAAAAGCCUACCAAGGCGACGAUCCAUAGCUGGUCUGAGAGGAUGAUCAGCCACACUGGGACUGAGACACGGCCCAGACUCCUACGGGAGGCAGCAGUGGGGAAUAUUGGACAAUGGGCGAAAGCCUGAUCCAGCAAUGCCGCGUGAGUGAUGAAGGCCUUAGGGUUGUAAAGCUCUUUUACCCGGGAUGAUAAUGACAGUACCGGGAGAAUAAGCUCCGGCUAACUUCGU
This 432-nucleotide ribosomal RNA is filed under the name uncultured bacterium. Its description in RNAcentral is "partial 16S ribosomal RNA". It matches the Rfam family "Bacterial small subunit ribosomal RNA", at positions 29 to 506 of the family's 1533-position model. The record is from RNAcentral.